UACGAAGGGGGCUAGCGUUGCUCGGAAUUACUGGGCGUAAAGCGCACGUAGGCGGCUUCUUAAGUCGGUGGUGAAAUCCUGGAGCUCAACUCCAGAACUGCCUUCGAUACUGGGAAGCUCGAGUCCGGGAGAGGUGAGUGGAACUGCGAGUGUAGAGGUGAAAUUCGUAGAUAUUCGCAAGAACACCAGUGGCGAAGGCGACUGUCUGGCCAGAUACUGACGCUGAGGCGCGAAAGCGUGGGGAGCAAACAGG
RNAcentral lists this ribosomal RNA (253 nucleotides) under uncultured bacterium. Its description in RNAcentral is "partial 16S ribosomal RNA". It matches the Rfam family "Bacterial small subunit ribosomal RNA", at positions 524 to 776 of the family's 1533-position model. The record is from RNAcentral.